This 367-nucleotide ribosomal RNA is filed under the name uncultured organism. RNAcentral describes it as "bacterial SSU rRNA". It matches the Rfam family "Bacterial small subunit ribosomal RNA", at positions 526 to 896 of the family's 1533-position model. The record is from RNAcentral.
CGGAGGGUGCAAGCGUUAUCCGGAUUCACUGGGUUUAAAGGGUGCGUAGGUGGGCAAGUAAGUCAGUGGUGAAUCUCCGGGCUUAACCCGGAAACUGCCAUUGAUACUAUUUGUCUUGAAUACUGUGGAGGUCAGCGGAAUAUGUCAUGUAGCGGUGAAAUGCUUAGAUAUGACAUAGAACACCAAUUGCGAAGGCAGCUGGCUACACAAAUAUUGACACUGAGGCACGAAAGCGUGGGGAUCAAACAGGAUUAGAUACCCUGGUAGUCCACGCCCUAAACUAUGGAUACUCGACAUUUGCGAUAAACUGCAAGUGUCUGAGCGAAAGCAUUAAGUAUCCCACCUGGGAAGUACGAUCGCAAGAUUG